AGAGUUUGAUCCUGGCUCAGAACGAACGCUGGCGGCAGGCCUAACACAUGCAAGUCGAACGGGGACCUUCGGGUCUUACGUGGCGCACGGGUGAGUAACGCGUGGGAAUCUACCCCAAAGUCGGGGAUAACCGCUGGAAACGGCGGCUAAUACCGGAUACGCCCUGAGGGGCAAAGCUUUUGCGCUUUGGGAGGAGCCCGCGUCCGAUUAGCUAGUUGGUGGGGUAAAGGCCUACCAAGGCUGCGAUCGGUAGCUGGUCUGAGAGGAUGAUCAGCCACACUGGGACUGAGACACGGCCCAGACUCCUACGGGAGGCAGCAGUGGGGAAUCUUGGACAAUGGGGGCAACCCUGAUCCAGCCAUGCCGCGUGGGUGAAGAAGGCCUUAGGGUUGUAAAGCCCUUUCGGCGGGGAAGAUGAUGACGGUACCCGCAGAAGAAGCCCCGGCUAACUCCGUGCCAGCAGCCGCGGUAAUACGGAGGGGGCUAGCGUUGUUCGGAAUCACUGGGCGUAAAGGGCGCGUAGGCGGACCACCAAGUCAGGGGUGAAAGCCCUGGGCUCAACCUAGGAAGUGCCCUUGAAACUGAUGGUCUUGAGUCCGGGAGAGGAGAGCGGAAUUCCCAGUGUAGAGGUGAAAUUCGUAGAUAUUGGGAAGAACACCGGGUGGCGAAGGCGGCUCUCUGGACCGGCACUGACGCUGA
Molecule: ribosomal RNA, 699 nt
Filed under: uncultured bacterium
Lineage: Bacteria
Description: bacterial SSU rRNA
Rfam family: Bacterial small subunit ribosomal RNA
Source: RNAcentral